RNAcentral lists this ribosomal RNA (495 nucleotides) under uncultured bacterium. RNAcentral's name for it is "bacterial SSU rRNA". It matches the Rfam family "Bacterial small subunit ribosomal RNA", at positions 30 to 525 of the family's 1533-position model. The record is from RNAcentral.
AUUGAACGCUGGCGGCAUGCCUUACACAUGCAAGUCGAACGGUAACAGGUCUUCGGAUGCUGACGAGUGGCGAACGGGUGAGUAAUACAUCGGAACGUGCCCGAUCGUGGGGGAUAACGGAGCGAAAGCUUUGCUAAUACCGCAUACGAUCUACGGAUGAAAGCAGGGGACCGCAAGGCCUUGCGCGGACGGAGCGGCCGAUGGCAGAUUAGGUAGUUGGUGGGAUAAAAGCUUACCAAGCCGACGAUCUGUAGCUGGUCUGAGAGGACGACCAGCCACACUGGGACUGAGACACGGCCCAGACUCCUACGGGAGGCAGCAGUGGGGAAUUUUGGACAAUGGGCGCAAGCCUGAUCCAGCCAUGCCGCGUGCAGGAUGAAGGCCUUCGGUUGUAACUGCUUUGUACGGACGAAAGAACUCUGGUUAAUACCUGGGUCCAUGACGGUACCGUAAGAAUAAGCACCGGCUAACUACGUGCCAGCAGCCGCGGUAAAC